GCUAAUAGUUCCAUGUCAAAAAAAUUAACUAAAUCGAAUAAGAAAAUAGCAAUGAUCAGUAUCAGCUCUUUAUGGAGAAAGAGCAGGUGAAAUAUUUUCUCAGCACUCUUCCUACAAGGCGAGGUCGAGAGUCACCUUGUGUUGAAAAUCUUACUAGUAUAGGACUCAACAGAAAAUAUAUUCCCCAAAUGCCCGUAAGAAUUCCUACUUCAAACCUCAGACUUCAAAUAACUGCCAGAACUACUUGACUGAGACACCCAUAAACUCAGAAAAUACAGUGUAAAACAAAGUGAAGAACAAAUAAACAACUCACCAGAGAUUUAUUCGUUUCUUGUUGCUCUUGGAAACACCCAGAGGACACUGGAAACAUAGCUGGGAUAGAAGGCAAAUGACGUGGAUUAAGGAGAGAACUGGUGUGGUUUGGUCCCAGAUUCUUCUGCCCAACACUCUAGACACAUUACCUGGGAAAGCCCUCCUCCCUCCUGAAAAAGAAAAACUUCCCCAGGGGAGAAGAAUCCUUCACGCCUCAUUAGGGGCAGCAAAGACUCAAGUUAAGAUAAGAUACAUCUACAAGUACAUUAAUUGGUAGACAUUAGAUGCACAAUUUAUUUUUGAAUAAAAAUAUAUAUUACCUACUAAUUUAGUAACAAUAUUAUCUAAAGAUAUAAUCUAAUAAUUUAAUACAAAGAAACAUUAUAAGUUCACUAAAAUAAAUGUUAUAGAAAUAUA
Molecule: long non-coding RNA, 729 nt
Filed under: Homo sapiens (human)
Lineage: Eukaryota; Metazoa; Chordata; Mammalia; Primates; Hominidae
Description: long non-coding RNA NONHSAT005667
Source: RNAcentral